RNAcentral lists this ribosomal RNA (560 nucleotides) under Candidatus Atelocyanobacterium thalassae. RNAcentral's name for it is "bacterial SSU rRNA". It matches the Rfam family "Bacterial small subunit ribosomal RNA", at positions 498 to 1056 of the family's 1533-position model. Lineage: Bacteria; Bacillati; Cyanobacteriota; Cyanophyceae; Chroococcales; Aphanothecaceae. The record is from RNAcentral.
UAGUCUGGUGCCAGCAGCCGCGGUAAUACGGGAGUGGCAAGCGUUAUCCGGAAUUAUUGGGCGUAAAGCGUCCGCAGGCGGCUUUUCAAGUCUGCUGUUAAAGCGUGGAGCUUAACUCCAUCAUGGCAGUGGAAACUGAAAGGCUUGAGUAUGGUAGGGGCAGAGGGAAUUCCCGGUGUAGCGGUGAAAUGCGUAGAUAUCGGGAAGAACACCAGUGGCGAAGGCGCUCUGCUGGGCCAUUACUGACGCUCAUGGACGAAAGCCAGGGGAGCGAAAGGGAUUAGAUACCCCUGUAGUCCUGGCCGUAAACGAUGAACACUAGGUGUCGGGGGAAUCGACCCCCUCGGUGUCGUAGCUAACGCGUUAAGUGUUCCGCCUGGGGAGUACGCACGCAAGUGUGAAACUCAAAGGAAUUGACGGGGGCCCGCACAAGCGGUGGAGUAUGUGGUUUAAUUCGAUGCAACGCGAAGAACCUUACCAGGGUUUGACAUCCUGCGAACCUCUUAGAAAUUUGAGGGUGCCUUCGGGAAUGCAGUGACAGGUGGUGCAUGGCCGUUCUU